GGCCGGCUGGCCUAAUGGUUAAGGCGUUAGUUUCCGGUUGACGAGACAGCUAAAGAUUCCGAGUUCGACUCUCGGGUUGGUCG
Molecule: non-coding RNA, 83 nt
Organism: Lenzites betulinus
Lineage: Eukaryota; Fungi; Basidiomycota; Agaricomycetes; Polyporales; Polyporaceae
Source: the annotation of a GenBank genome assembly